CCUACGGGGGGCUGCAGUGGGGAAUAUUGGACAAUGGGGGCAACCCUGAUCCAGCCAUGCCGCGUGUGUGAAGAAGGCCCUCGGGUUGUAAAGCACUUUCAGUGAGGAAGAACGCCUGGUGGUUAAUAUCCAUCAGGAAAGACAUCACUCACAGAAGAAGCACCGGCUAACUCCGUGCCAGCAGCCGCGGUAAUACGGAGGGUGCGAGCGUUAAUCGGAAUUACUGGGCGUAAAGCGCGCGUAGGUGGCUUGAUAAGCCGGUUGUGAAAGCCCCGGGCUCAACCUGGGAACGGCAUCCGGAACUGUCAAGCUAGAGUGCAGGAGAGGAAGGUAGAAUUCCCGGUGUAGCGGUGAAAUGCGUAGAGAUCGGGAGGAAUACCAGUGGCGAAGGCGGCCUUCUGGACUGACACUGACACUGAGGUGCGAAAGCGUGGGUAGCAAACAGGAUUAGAUACCCUAGUAGUC
Molecule: ribosomal RNA, 465 nt
Filed under: Vreelandella stevensii
Lineage: Bacteria; Pseudomonadati; Pseudomonadota; Gammaproteobacteria; Oceanospirillales; Halomonadaceae
Description: partial 16S ribosomal RNA
Rfam family: Bacterial small subunit ribosomal RNA
Source: RNAcentral